GAUGAACGCUAGCUACAGGCUUAACACAUGCAAGUCGAGGGGCAGCAUGAACACAGCUUGCUAUGUUUGAUGGCGACCGGCGCAAGGGUGCGUAACGCGUGAGCAACUUGCCCGUUUCAGGGGGAUAACCGGUGGAAACGCCGACUAAUACCCCAUAGCAUCACAAGGAGGCAUCUCCAUGUGAUUAAAGAAUUUCGGAAACGGAUAGGCUCGCGUGACAUUAGCUAGAUGGCGGGGUAACGGCCCACCAUGGCGACGAUGUCUAGGGGUUCUGAGAGGAAGGUCCCCCACACUGGAACUGAGACACGGUCCAG
Molecule: ribosomal RNA, 314 nt
Filed under: uncultured bacterium
Lineage: Bacteria
Description: bacterial SSU rRNA
Rfam family: Bacterial small subunit ribosomal RNA
Source: RNAcentral